ACUGGAGUUUGAUCCUGGCUCAGAGCGAACGCUGGCGGCAGGCCUAACACAUGCAAGUCGAACGGACCCUUCGGGGUUAGUGGCGGACGGGUGAGUAACACGUGGGAACGUGCCUUUAGGUUCGGAAUAGCUCCUGGAAACGGGUGGUAAUGCCGUAUGUGCCCUUCGGGGGAAAGAUUUAUCGCCAUUGGAGCGGCCCGCGUUGGAUUAGCUAGUUGGUGGGUAAAGGCCCACCAAGGCUACGAUCCAUAGCUGGUCUGAGAGGAUGACCAGCCACACUGGGGACUGAGACACGGCCCAGACUCCUACGGGAGGCAGCAGUAGGGAAUCUUGGGGCAAUGGGCGAAAGCCUGACCCAGCCAUGCCGCGUGAAUGAUGAAGGUCUUAGGAUUGUAAAAUU
This 400-nucleotide ribosomal RNA is filed under the name uncultured Brevundimonas sp. RNAcentral describes it as "bacterial SSU rRNA". It matches the Rfam family "Bacterial small subunit ribosomal RNA", at positions 1 to 432 of the family's 1533-position model. Lineage: Bacteria; Pseudomonadati; Pseudomonadota; Alphaproteobacteria; Caulobacterales; Caulobacteraceae. The record is from RNAcentral.